This 519-nucleotide ribosomal RNA is filed under the name uncultured Ralstonia sp. RNAcentral's name for it is "bacterial SSU rRNA". It matches the Rfam family "Bacterial small subunit ribosomal RNA", at positions 61 to 569 of the family's 1533-position model. The record is from RNAcentral. Lineage: Bacteria; Pseudomonadati; Pseudomonadota; Betaproteobacteria; Burkholderiales; Burkholderiaceae.
GUCGAACGGCAGCAUGAUCUAGCUUGCUAGAUUGAUGGCGAGUGGCGAACGGGUGAGUAAUACAUCGGAACGUGCCCUGUAGUGGGGGAUAACUAGUCGAAAGAUUAGCUAAUACCGCAUACGACCUGAGGGUGAAAGUGGGGGACCGCAAGGCCUCAUGCUAUAGGAGCGGCCGAUGUCUGAUUAGCUAGUUGGUGAGGUAAAGGCUCACCAAGGCGACGAUCAGUAGCUGGUCUGAGAGGACGAUCAGCCACACUGGGACUGAGACACGGCCCAGACUCCUACGGGAGGCAGCAGUGGGGAAUUUUGGACAAUGGGCGAAAGCCUGAUCCAGCAAUGCCGCGUGUGUGAAGAAGGCCUUCGGGUUGUAAAGCACUUUUGUCCGGAAAGAAAUGGCUCUGGUUAAUACCUGGGGUCGAUGACGGUACCGGAAGAAUAAGGACCGGCUAACUACGUGCCAGCAGCCGCGGUAAUACGUAGGGUCCAAGCGUUAAUCGGAAUUACUGGGCGUAAAGCGUG